AUGGAUAGACUGAAGCAUACAUUUCUGCUAAUCCUCACGCGACUACUUCCCACGGAGCUUGAAAGACAUGCUCGCACGAUUGAACCUUCCACUGCAAGGACGUCUACACUCGGCAUCGACGAUGUGAAGAAUAUGUGUUCGAUAUUCCCGCCAGUAUUUACUGUUGGAUACGGACGUGUUGAUGGUCUUCUCUGUACAUUUUAUUUUAUUUAUUAUGUCGAUAUCGGUAAGAAUACUGAACGAUUUUGCCGUUGCAUCGUUGGCAUGACGCGUGACGCUAACAUUGAACUUGUAAACAACGGAGACAGAUGGAUCACGAUUUCCUAAACUGUUGGAAGUAUUAGGGAUAGACAAAGAAUAAAUUAAAUAUACAUCAAGAUACAGUUUUAAUAAAGCCUACGGAGUACAAUCCUACGAAGAUCGAAGUAAAAAUCAUCAAAAUGUGCAAACCUAUCUGCUAGUGUUAUAAUUUAUGUUAUCAGAUAUAGUAGCAAAGUCAAACUGGGCUAUGAAGCAACACGAUCCUAGUCGAUCCAGAGCAACUCAAACUCGAAAUCAUGUGUGAUUUCUCACAAAGAAGAAUUAGAUUUUCAGUAUAUUGGAGAAAAUUCAACAAAAACGCUGCCUAUAACAUUUCAUAACAAGAACAGUAUUGCUGUACCUGUUACACUUUUAUAUCACAUGAUGGACCAAAAAUAUUCAGUAUUGAAAGUGGAUCUCAAGACGAACUGACACUAGUACUUAAGCCUUAUGAAAAUUUUUGCAUUUUGAACAGAGCCACAGUAUUGGAGGGUAAAUUGAUUGUACACGUUCAAUGUGACGAUGAUAUGUACUAUUCAAGAAGACGUGCCUCUUUAUGCAAAAACAGGUACUUGUAAAUCCAGGUAAUCGACACGAGUACCUAUAGUUGUCCAAGGCAACAAGGCAAGUGUUGAAUAUCGUUAAUCGGAAACGUGGCGACGCACGUAUCCGCUACUGUCGUGCAAUCGAGGGCUAUUCAGACGCGGCACAAGAUUUCUCCGUAAAGCCAGAUCAUAUAUUUCUGCACGCUGGAGACAACGGUUUAUUCUAAUUGUAUAUAAGUCACAGUGUUUGGAUGCAAAAGCUGUAGAUAACGAAAGGUAACGUCAAUCUGCCAGAUUAAAUUCGGUUGCUGGUAACAAUGUUUACCAUUACAACAUAUGUGCCGAACAAAUAUCUGAAAAUUAUUUACGUUGCAAUACACCUAAUAAUAUAAUAUUUUUGAGCCCUGCAACGUCGCCACAGAGUGUAGCUUCUAGUAGGUCUGGACCUUUGGAUCGGAAUUCACCAAUCAGCAUGGUGUCUAGCGUAGCCGUUGCGGGACACACAAUUCCAAUCAGAGCAACGCACGCUGCUCUAGUAUGGAAUAGCGUGAAAACGGGAAAGAGUGAAAUUAAGGAAUUCACAAUUCGCAAUACAAGCAAUAACAAGAUCAAAAUUCAGAUAGAUAUGUCGGAUGCGAAAAAGAGUUUUAAGUUUCUCAGCGACAGACAAACUGUCACUACAAGCAUGGUGUUGGCGAUGCAACGUCAAGAGAUCAAAACGCUCGCAGUUGUGUUUAGCCCGUAUCAUAUAGGUCCAGCAGUUGGAAAAAUUACCAUCAAACAUUACGCGACGGACAGCAGCGAUUCUCAGCAACACAAAAAGAUACCUUUGUACGGAUACGGCGGCUGUGGCAAAGUGAAAGUCUCGGACACAUUUAAAGAUGCGGGUGGAAAGAUGUGGUUGUCGCUUGGUACUUUAUCCUCCGAGACUACGGCUUUGACCGCGAACAUCACGUUGCAAAAUGUCGGCGACUUGAGUUCAUUUGCCAAAAUCAAAGUUGUACCAAAAGUUAUAUCUCCGACAAUGGAUUCCAGUUGGCACAUAAGUCAAAAAGAACUGAUACUCAAUCCCAGAGAGAAUCGGCGAGUGGCGAUAGAAUUCUAUCCCAAGAAAGAAGACUUUGCGAUAUUACAGCGUUUGGAAGUCUCACAUGUCGCGACGAUAAACGUCACUUACGGAGAUGAAUCGACCCGCUUGCGGAUACGCAGAUUGUACAAUAAGAUAAAAGAGACAGGUGAAUUGACCGAAAACGAGAAUGAAGCAUUCAAGAAUAUUGUGCAUCCCAUAUGCAAAGCUUUUCCUGGAGAGCAAAUAAUUCCUGGUUUAACAUCAAUUCGUGAUACCAUUCAAAACUUGAGUGAUCUGUGCACCGGGGUUCACCAGUACGAAAUAAUGCUCACAGUGGAAGAGUGCGCGGAUGAUACUUUGCCCGUUCAUUAUGACACUGACGAAUCACAGAUGGAUUACUCCCUUAUGAAUGACACUACUCACAUAGACGAAGCAGCUGGAGCAAGUUUUUUCACUUCUUCGAUGACGGUAGAAUGUGAAGCUCAGUAUUCUGAAUUAGGAGAGGAACAAUUCACCGUGACUCCGUCCACUGUCGUUCUCAAUCCUCCGAUCCGAAAUGAGGCAACUGUGACUGUUCUCGGUUCUUUCAAAGCAGCCCAGCCAUUUCAAACCGGCUGGUCGAAGUUAAAACUGUCGAACUCGAGUUAUUUUAGUGUCGUUCCCGCGAAAGGAAUGCUGCCGAGCAGAAGAGGUUUCCCUUUAAAAGUAAAAUGCUCGCAGAGAAUAAAACGUAACACCCAUGCCGUACUCGAGAUUUAUACGGAGAACAGUAAACAGGAUGUACUGAUUAAUGUUAUUGUAAAACGACAGUGAUCAGAUAUAUUUACAAUAUGAUUG
Molecule: small RNA, 2751 nt
Filed under: Ooceraea biroi (clonal raider ant)
Lineage: Eukaryota; Metazoa; Arthropoda; Insecta; Hymenoptera; Formicidae
Description: uncharacterized LOC105287364
Source: RNAcentral